Molecule: long non-coding RNA, 2275 nt
Filed under: Paramuricea clavata
Lineage: Eukaryota; Metazoa; Cnidaria; Anthozoa; Malacalcyonacea; Plexauridae
Source: RNAcentral
GCAUUGUUUUGACGGUUUUUCGUCGUAUUUCCGGUUUGGGAUUAACGCAAAUUCGGGCAGAAAUGCAAAAUUCGGCAAGAAAACUCAGUUUUAAAGAUAGAAGCUUGAAAAUAACACUAUACGUGUUAUUUGUAACUGCUUCAUUGAUCAAGAGCAUACGUCUCAAGGGGCCGAAGUUAUGUUCGGCGAAAGGUAUGUCUAUGUUUAUAAUUUGUUAGUAAUAUUGCGUAAUUUGAUCAUAUAUAAGCCCGUUUGACUUUCAAAGCUUAUAAAUCGCUACAAUGUAGCCAGUGACUAAAACUAUCGUUAUAAAUUAGUAUAUAUUUUUAUACUGAAUCGAAUGGUGGUGUUUUCAUCGACAUAGCGUGUACUGAACCGAAGAUAUAAACGAAAUAUCCGUAGAACGUGCACGUUCUACGCGUAAUGGCCCCUGUUGAGAAAGAGUUAAAGACUUAUUGAGUUUUGUAAACAACAAAAGCUUCAUCCUCGCACGAAAUUUUGGUGCAGCAGAAUCUUACAUCUUGAAGUACGUUCGACGGUUCGAGAGAGUACAAAAAUCGUUUGUACGGCCUUUAGAUAAAUCAUAAAUAUAUUCUAUUUUAACUAGAUAUAGUAUUAUAGCUGUUGAAGACUCUAUUGGAUUGUGCGUCUGUACGCACAUGCUACAAAUGCUAUAAUAUUGGCAGGUAUGCGUAUAAUAAUAAGAGACGGAAUUUACAUAAUAUUUUCGUCAAUUUAGAUUAAUACUGCGGCUUAAUACAGGCAGUCUCAGUGUAUUUAUACUUUGUUCAUGCCUCUUGUGGCAUGUGGACUUUAUAUAUUAAUCAGAUACUUAAUAAUAAUAUUGAAUUAUUUUUUACAUGAAAAUGUAGCAUGGCUUUGUGUAAUACGAUCUCUACAACACGUACACAACAGGUAAAACGGAUCAUGUUGCCAAAUUGUGAAUACUUAUUCAUGACACAUGUUUCUUCUUUGAAUAAAACUCGAGGAGCAGUGAAUUAAACGUGGAAAUUCACUUCCUGCGAAUUAACAAUCAAUCAAAUGUUUUAAACUGCAUCACUAUGUUGCAAAAUCUUUUGACCAUCCAUGUAAAAGGACAAAAUAUGCGAUUAAAUAACAAUUUUUAAAACGUCAAUUUGUGCUUGUCAAUCUAUUUCUCGAUAAGAAUUGGAUGCUUGCUUGGCAUUGGGCGAAACAGUAAUUUUCAUGUAACAUUUUUUCGCAAACAGGACACAUAUUAAUUUGGUUGGCGAUCCCCACCUCGGCUGCCAAAAGUAAUCACCAUACUGAUGCGAUGUUCAGCAACGAAAUUUUUUACUAACGUACGAAAAAUCGUAGGUCCGCUCCUGAGAAAUCAUACAUAGUGGACGUACGUGGUUUAUUCUACUUCUUUUAUAAUUUGCGUAUCAAGUGGAAAUAAUAUAAUUCUUCAACAGUAAACAGUGAAUUAUAUAACGCCACGUUGUUAAUCGAGAAUUUGAAAAAAUAGAUCGUUUGCAUUCACCUUGCCUCAAGCUAACUGAAAAAAGUCUGUCGAAGUACUUAUUAUAAUGUGGGUUUGACUUCAGUUACUACCUGCAUUUUCAAUAUUUGUGCAGAGGUUACUUUUUACACAUUUGUUAAUUUUAUUUUUUAUGUCUAUUUAUACAGUAUAACUGGAAUACCGCCCAACUACCACCAGGGAAAAACGAAAAUGCAGAACAGGCAGUAACAUAAACCGAGCAAACAUUACACUAGAUAUUUCUACAGAUUUUGAUCUGCAACCAGCACGAAUUGAAACACCAUGUAAUAUGUUUAAUUUUACUGUUUACUGCUGGGCCAUGAUGACAUUCAAUUCUGCGUUCAAUUGCACUGUUUAAAACCAGUUUUUGUGGCCCGUUCGCGGGCUAACCAUUGUGUACGCGCCGAAAAACGUUGUGAAGUCGUGAAGUUGUGACGGAGCGUGUUCGACUUUACUUCGGAAACUGUCGUUAAUGCCAUGAGGCGAUGAUAUUGAUAUAGUAAUGCACAGUCCACAGAUCUGCGAAUAAAACAUCAAUAAUUCAUCACAAAUACAGGUAAACCAAUUAUUUUCCAUCUCUAGUCAAUUAUAAUGCUAAAAACAUCGCAAUUUUGGUCUGCUCUGGUCAAAAAUAUUUGAUUAGGCCAGUGGCGUAGCCAGAACGAUAAUUGGGAGGGAUGGGGGGAUAUUCAUGCCAUUGGCAUUGUUGCUUGCACUGAUCUUACAUCAGGCGCUUACGAGAGGUCCACGUAUCAAAUAGAAACUGAAAUAGAA